CAGGCUAUGAUGAUUGGCGCAGGGGUACGGACCUCAGCUGAGUCAUGGGAGCUGAGUGUAUGUGUUUCACCAUUGUCCUGCAUGUGGCAGGUUGGUGGUGUGCACUUACAUGAGAACGUUGCCUUAGUCUGAGCCUG
This is a small nucleolar RNA of Dipodomys ordii (Ord's kangaroo rat), 137 nucleotides long. Ensembl annotates it as predicted gene, 22486. Its record names the gene Snord94. NCBI's taxonomy places the organism in Eukaryota, Metazoa, Chordata, Mammalia, Rodentia, Heteromyidae. The record is from Ensembl.